UGCAGCUAACUGGCCUCCUCCUACAGCUAGCUGUCCAAUCAAAUAGCUGUGUGCUAAGUUGUCUCUUUCUCUGCAGUUGGCUUGGAUGUACAGAGGAAAUUCACCCCAUUCUACUCAUGGAGGUUGGGGUCAUACACUUCAUUGCAAUGCCCAUCUGACCAAAAGCCCCUUGGCAAAGUUGAGAUGGAUACAAAGCAGGAUAUCAAGCCACAACUGCAUCAGAUGGAAUCAUGUCAGACCAAAGGUCCUUCUGCCAAUCUCUUCAAGACUGGUUGCAAUCAUCCUUACAAGAACAAAGGUAGACAGGAAAAAUCCAAACAACAAUGCUUGGUAACCCCUGGGACUAAGCGCUCAGCAUUAUCAAUCUAUCUGUCAGAAAUGAAGAUUAAAGAGCAACAGUUAUAUGGUCCAUCAUUGGGGAAACGAUUGAAGACUGCACAAAUGCCUUGCUCUCCAGCAGUAAAUCUGUCACAAUUUUCUUUUGUGUCCAAGAAUCCAUUGCAGCAUCCUCAAAGGCAUGACAUCUCUCCAAGAAUAAGUGAUUCUUUGACCAUCUCUCCAAGAAUAAAUGAUUCCUCAAACAUCUCUGACUUUCCUACUCAGCCACAGGUUCUUCUCAAUGGGCCACCCCAUAACAGCAUGGAACACAGCAGGAAUCAUUUUGAUGCACAAGAAGUGUGCCAAAACCAUUCACUUAACAACAGACCAAUCAGCCUUUCUCCAUCUCUGGACGAGGUCCUUCUCAAUGAGCCGCCCCGUGACAGCAUGCAACACAGCAGGAAUCAUUUUGAUGUGCAAGAAGUGUGCCAAAACCAGUCACUUAACAACAGACCCAUCAGCCUUCCAUCUAUAAACGAGGUAAUGAAAUUUAUAUGUGCAGGUGAAAUACAAAAUCUUAAAGUUAAAAAGACAUACUCUGCCCACCAACCUCCAAUCCAGAUUUACGUCAAAUUUAUAUUCAUACAACACUGAUUGCACUCCUUGCAUUGUCAUAGAAAUGGAUAAGGUUCUGUAACUCAAAUGCUCAUGUAAGAUAUCAUGAAAAUACUCCUAUAGUUUUAUCAUGUUUUUAACACCCUCUGAAACCUUGCUUUACUCAGCU
Molecule: long non-coding RNA, 1102 nt
Organism: Eptatretus burgeri (inshore hagfish)
Lineage: Eukaryota; Metazoa; Chordata; Myxini; Myxiniformes; Myxinidae
Source: Ensembl